Molecule: ribosomal RNA, 482 nt
Filed under: uncultured bacterium
Lineage: Bacteria
Description: bacterial SSU rRNA
Rfam family: Bacterial small subunit ribosomal RNA
Source: RNAcentral
GUCAGAACGAACGCUGGUGGCGUGUCUUAUACAUGCAAGUCGAGCGAGGCAGCAAUGCCUAGCGGCGAACGGGUGAGUAACGCGUAAGCAAUCUGCCCCAUAUCAGGAAAUACCCGUGCCAACGCGCGGUUAAUGUCCAGGAGCGUGGCCUUCCGCAUGGGAGGUUGACAAGAGAUUUAUCGGUAUGGGAUGAGCUUGCGUCCGAUUAGCUAGUUGGCGGGCAACGGCCCACCAAGGCGACGAUCGGUAGCCGGCCUGAGAGGGUGAUCGGCCACAUUGGGACUGAGAUACGGCCUAGACUCCUACGGGAGGCAGCAGUAGGGAAUAUUGCACAAUGGGGGAAACCCUGAUGCAGCAACGCCCACGUGUGGGAAGAAGCAUUUCGGUGUGUAAACCACUGUCGUGAGGGAAUAAGGCGUCUUCUCGGAGACGUUGAAUGUACCUCGAAAGGAAGCACCGGCAAACUUCGUGCCAGCCGCGGC